UUAGUGGCGCACGGGUGCGUAACGCGUGGGAAUCUGCCCCUUGGUUCGGAAUAACAGUUGGAAACGACUGCUAAUACCGGAUGAUGACGUAAGUCCAAAGAUUUAUCGCCGAGGGAUGAGCCCGCGUAGGAUUAGGUAGUUGGUGUGGUAAAGGCGCACCAAGCCGACGAUCCUUAGCUGGUCUGAGAGGAUGAUCAGCCACACUGGGACUGAGACACGGCCCAGACUCCUACGGGAGGCAGCAGUGGGGAAUAUUGGACAAUGGGCGAAAGCCUGAUCCAGCAAUGCCGCGUGAGUGAUGAAGGCCUUAGGGUUGUAAAGCUCUUUUACCCGGGAUGAUAAUGACAGUACCGGGAGAAUAAGCUCCGGCUAACUCCGUGCCAGCAGCCGCGGUAAUACGGAGGGAGCUAGCGUUAUUCGGAAUUACUGGGCGUAAAGCGCACGUAGGCGGCUUUGUAAGUAAGAGGUGAAAGCCCAGAGCUCAACUCUGGAAUUGCC
This 498-nucleotide ribosomal RNA is filed under the name Sphingomonas sp. Air213. Its description in RNAcentral is "bacterial SSU rRNA". It matches the Rfam family "Bacterial small subunit ribosomal RNA", at positions 92 to 625 of the family's 1533-position model. Lineage: Bacteria; Pseudomonadati; Pseudomonadota; Alphaproteobacteria; Sphingomonadales; Sphingomonadaceae. The record is from RNAcentral.